This 21-nucleotide non-coding RNA is filed under the name Arabidopsis thaliana (thale cress). Lineage: Eukaryota; Viridiplantae; Streptophyta; Magnoliopsida; Brassicales; Brassicaceae. The record is from RNAcentral.
UGGAUGAAUUUGUUUUAGAUG